UGCCAAGGACGUUUUCAUUAAUCAAGAACGAAAGUUAGGGGAUCGAAGAUGAUCAGAUACCGUCGUAGUCUUAACCAUAAACUAUGCCGACUAGGGAUCGGGUGGUGUUCUUUUUUGACCCACUCGGCACCUUACGAGAAAUCAAAGUUUUUGGGUUCUGGGGGGAGUAUGGUCGCAAGGCUGAAACUUAAAGGAAUUGACGGAAGGGCACCACCAGGAGUGGAGCCUGCGGCUUAAUUUGACUCAACACGGGGAAACUCACCAGGUCCAGACACAAUAAGGAUUGACAGAUUGAUAGCUCUUUCUUGAUUUUGUGGGUGGUGGUGCAUGGCCGUUCUUAGUUGGUGGAGUGAUUUGUCUGCUUAAUUGCGAUAACGAACGAGACCUUAACCUACUAAAUAGUACUAUUAGCGUUUGCUGAUUUGGGACUUCUUAGAGGGACUAUCGGUUUCAAGCCGAUGGAAGUUUGAGGCAAUAACAGGUCUGUGAUGCCCUUAGACGUUCUGGGCCGCACGCGCGCUACACUGACGGAGCCAACGAGUAUAUCCUUUGCCGAGAGGUACGGGUAAACUUGUGAAACUCCGUCGUGCUGGGGGAUAGAGCAAUUGCAAUUAUUGCUCCUUC
This 624-nucleotide ribosomal RNA is filed under the name Meyerozyma guilliermondii. Its description in RNAcentral is "SSU rRNA". It matches the Rfam family "Eukaryotic small subunit ribosomal RNA", at positions 956 to 1602 of the family's 1831-position model. The record is from RNAcentral. Lineage: Eukaryota; Fungi; Ascomycota; Pichiomycetes; Serinales; Debaryomycetaceae.